UACGGGGGGGGCAAGCGUUGUUCGGAAUUACUGGGCGUAAAGGGCGCGUAGGCGGUUUGCUAAGUUGGAUGUGAAAACUCUGGGCUUAACCCAGAGCCUGCAUCCAAAACUGGCAAACUUGAGUACUGGAGGGGAAAGCGGAAUUCCUGGUGUAGCGGUGAAAUGCGUAGAGAUGCGGAGGAACACCGAUGGCGAAGGCAGCCCCCUGGGCUAGCACUGACGCUCAGGCACGAAGGUCAGGGGAGCAAACGGG
RNAcentral lists this ribosomal RNA (253 nucleotides) under uncultured bacterium. RNAcentral describes it as "partial 16S ribosomal RNA". It matches the Rfam family "Bacterial small subunit ribosomal RNA", at positions 524 to 776 of the family's 1533-position model. The record is from RNAcentral.